Callithrix jacchus (white-tufted-ear marmoset) is the source of this 1892-nucleotide non-coding RNA. NCBI's taxonomy places the organism in Eukaryota, Metazoa, Chordata, Mammalia, Primates, Cebidae. The record is from RefSeq and is a predicted model, not a curated record.
ACUACUCCGAGACUCAGAGACUGGCAAAACAUUCCUGUGGAUUCAUGUCCCUUCAGCCACUGCCACUUUGCCCAAAGAUUCAGGGCCCAAAAUGAGCCCCAGUUGGGCAGCCUUUGUCUCUUCAGAGUUGGCAGUUCUACUGCCCCACAAAGAAGUGUUCUCCCUCUGCAUCUGGGAAUCAGGACUCCUGAGUUCUGGUGAAUAAUCUUGGAUGACACUCAUUCCUGCUCCAGAACCUCGUGGCUGACUUUAUGCCCUGCAGGAUCACUUGUUGCUUUCUCCCUAUGUAGCUCCCGUUGCCUCUCUCUGGUAUGGUGACUUGUGGAGAGACUAGGGUCUCUGCGAGGGAGAAGAAUAUGUUGUAGAGAAGUGAGAAGCAGGCAGCCAGGACCCUUGCCACGGUAGAAUGAAAGCCUGCUGGUUUGGGCUCCCACCAACAGAUUGCUCUUCUUUUCUCUUCUGGGAUACCGUGAAAAGAGCAUUGGCUUCAGAGUCAGCUUCAUCUAAUUUCAAAUCCUAGCACACCACUUAGGUAAAUUGCAUACUUUCUCUCUUAAGUCUCACCAGUAAGACAGGAUAAGGUUUCCUUCUUCAGGGGUUGAAAAGUUUUAGUGAGAUAGGUAGAAACUGCCUGGCUCAUUGUAGAUGCUUAGUAAAAUGUCAGGCUUUCUUUUAUUCUUCCCUUUUCCCCCAGACAAGACAAAAGCCCUGGUGUCUGAAAGUUACCAGGUGCAGGAAGUUUGGGGUUCCAGCGAGCUCCCUCUGUGACUCUUGGUGCUUUUGAGCCCCUUCUUCCUGCUCCUUAUUCCUUGGCCCUGUACCCAACUCUCUCUACUCCGCUGCUCCUGAGUUUCAAGUUUCGUUUUUGUAUAACUUCUGUGGUCUAUACUUCCAGCUCUUCUCUUUCCCAGGCUAAGAAAUCCUUUCUCCUUGAAGAAGGACUUUCUUGCGCAGAGAUCAGAAUGUGAAAUAAGGGAGAGAUGGAGCUGAAGGAGUUGGGUUUGGUAGGGGUAUUGGAAUGAAAGCUCAUUUCCCUUUCCAGGAGCGUGGAAUGACUAACCUGGCACCAUUCUAAGGGGAAAGAAGGGUUUAGCCAAGUCACAGGAUUGAAAGACCCUGAUGGGCCGGGGCAUGGUGGGUAGUGGUUUUGGAGUGAAAGGAGAAAGCAAAUGGGCUGUGGGUUGGUGAGCUCCACCUUGGGAUCCAGAGCAGGUGUCGGGGGAACUUAAGAGAGGAGGGGAGGGCAUGGGGAUGGGUUUCUAAGAGGGAAUAGUGUGGCCCACCUGGAAAAAAGGUAAAUGAGAAGAUGUAGGCAGUCUUGUUUUCUGCUCCAGGCCGUCUGUCUGGGCGGUCCCAUAGCCCAGACUCCUGAAAGCCCCUAAAGGUCCCUGGAGUAGGGUACGCCCUCGGACAAGGCCCAGGGUCCGCGGGGAGGGAGGAGCCUGGGGCUGUGGGUGGGGCUCGCGGAGCUGCCCCGCCCCUGCCUCCCCUUCCCGCCGCGUCCCGGGCUCUCCCCUCGCCCAGCUUCCCUCCCUUCCGCGCUCGUGCUGGAGGGCGGAGCUGGGCCCGCUCCAUUGUGAAAAGGAGGGGAGAGGCGUGCGGGAGCCGUGCUGAGGUUCCGCCACCAGCGCCCUCACCUCCCGGCCGCCGCAGCUGCACCUGGCCGUCCCCGCAGCCGGGAUGCGGCGGGCGCCCGGGGCUGGCUGGCAGUGCAGCGGCUCCAGGGUCGUGUGCGCUGGCCCAGACCGCCUGUGACCAUGAGCCUGACCGCCCGCGUCUCCUACUCCAUGCUUAGCUGCUUCGGUGAGGAGGGCCCCCCAGCCUGGAGUACAUCCAAGCCAAGGAUCUGUUCCCCCCCCAAGGAACUAGUGAAGGAGGAGGAGAAUCUUCAG